AUGGAGACAUCAGAGCGCCAUGGUUCUCAAGAUCAAAAUGGAGAAGUGGCUGAGGGUACUGAUACUGAUGAGGAGGAUGACUUUGAUUGGGCGGCGGGAGAAUCGUCACGGAGCGACUGGGGAGAGAAGUACCCAACAUCGGUUGGGCUGUAUCAUGUAGAGCCUUCCGAGCAUGACAUUUCAAAAUUCUAUGUAGGCAUGGUAGGCUGUGGCGAGUGGCGACAAUGUUCUAGAGAAGUAAGAAUGACAAGAGUAGAACCGUCCCGUGGCAUGUAUUUUCUACUGUUUGGCUGUCCUUGCCAUGUGAUUCUGAAAUCCGUAAAUUUAUACAGGAAGUGGUUCAAGCACUAUCAUCCGAGACUAGCUGUGGCGUCUGGCCAGGACCUGAAGGACGAGCUAACUCCUUGUGGCGAGCUGACACUGAAUCUGUGGACAUGCAUACAAAGGAUGCUAAGCAAGAAGGAUAAGAUCAUGUACAAGGGGUGGCUAGACAGAUUCAGAGGCUUCUUUGAUCCCCGUUUUGUGGGACGAUGA
RNAcentral lists this ribosomal RNA (534 nucleotides) under Triticum aestivum (bread wheat). Its description in RNAcentral is "partial small subunit ribosomal RNA". Lineage: Eukaryota; Viridiplantae; Streptophyta; Magnoliopsida; Poales; Poaceae. The record is from RNAcentral.